Long non-coding RNA from Peromyscus eremicus (cactus mouse), 1112 nucleotides. RefSeq lists it as uncharacterized. Lineage: Eukaryota; Metazoa; Chordata; Mammalia; Rodentia; Cricetidae. The record is from RefSeq and is a predicted model, not a curated record. The transcript is spliced from 3 exons.
UCAAGUGGCAAAACUGGCAGGCUUACCACUUUCCUCAUCUGCAGCAAAGAGUGUCGUGAGCGCCAAACCCAGCCCAUAGGGGUCCCAAGGGUUUUCGUGCACCUCCUCUCACAGUAUGGAGAGCAAUUGCAACACACUGUGAAAGAGGAAGAUCCAGAUAGUGCAUAAGGUCUGAGCCCAAGUUCACUCAUCCAUCAAAGCAGCUGUUCCUGAGAGACCGGUCAGUGAGGAUAAAGGCACAGAAGGAAUGAAGAGCACAGCCUGCUGGGAAGAUGGUGGGUGAGGGAGGUGUUGUAUUUGAGGAGCAGGUACAGUGGGAAGUAUGGCUGGGAAGGGAAGGUGCGGCGGCCUGCCUUCAAGAGUUCUCACUACCAGGAAAUGAUCAGUUGGGAGCAACAUACACCUUAAUGGUCUGGAGUUAACCAUCCCAGGGUGUAGACCUACUUGAAGACAUCAUGUUGUAGGGUUUCUCUAUGUAACCUUAGCUGUCCUGGAAUGCACUCUGUAGACCAGAUUCACUCUUUGAAUUCAGAGAUCUGCCUGCCUCUGCUUUCUGAGUGCUGCGAUUAGAGGUAUGUGUCACCACACCAGGCUAAACCUAGUCUUUUACCAUGAGGGAAAGCUGGCAGGCUGACCAACCCAGCUACUACCCAGGCCCAGAACCAGGACUAUGAGGUAGCCUACCCAACACCCACCUCAUUUUGAACUGCUGGAGCAUGUGAAGAGGAAAAACUAACAAAUCCAAAGCUACAGGAUCUCCGUGACACAGGGAACAACAGGAUAUGGAAGAGAAGUCCCAGUGGAGGCCCAGUAUUGAGGGUGUAGUGAAGCCAGAGGCCUUGAACCAGACCAAUGACUCAUUGCAAUGGACACUUACAAGUAAAGAUGUAUGGGCUGAAGGGUAAACUGUGUCAUACUACAGCUUCCAUUCCGAGAUUUAUUUCAUUUAUUUAUUUUGUUGUUUGUUUUGAGUUUUUUUUUUGGUUUUAUUUUAAAUUUUGUUUUGUGGGGAGGUUGCAAGGGCAGAGGGUGGAAGUGAGGGGACAGGGAGAUGCGUGUGAUGGGAUGCAUGAUGCGAAGUCCACAAGGAAUCGAUGAAAAGUUAAAAAGGC